RNAcentral lists this ribosomal RNA (329 nucleotides) under uncultured eukaryote. RNAcentral's name for it is "partial 18S ribosomal RNA". It matches the Rfam family "Eukaryotic small subunit ribosomal RNA", at positions 1470 to 1796 of the family's 1831-position model. The record is from RNAcentral.
CCCUUAGAUGUUCUGGGCAGCACGCGCGCUACACUGAUGCAUUCAACGAGUCUAAAACCUGCUCUGAUAGGGGUGGGUAAUCUUUUGAAUGUGCAUCGUGAUUGGGAUAGAUGAUUGCAAUUUUUCAUCUUCAACGAGGAAUAUCUAGUAAACGCAAGUCAUCAGCUUGCAUUGAUUACGUCCCUGCCCUUUGUACACACCGCCCGUCGCUCCUACCGAUUGAAUGAUCCGAUGAAUAUCAUGGAUUGAGGAUGCAAGCAGGUUCGCCUGUCUUCAUCUUCGAGAAGUGAAGUAAAUCUUAUCAUUUAGAGGAAGGAGAAGUCGUAACA